This 406-nucleotide ribosomal RNA is filed under the name uncultured bacterium. Its description in RNAcentral is "partial 16S ribosomal RNA". It matches the Rfam family "Bacterial small subunit ribosomal RNA", at positions 30 to 526 of the family's 1533-position model. The record is from RNAcentral.
AUUGAACGCUGGCGGCAGGCCUAACACAUGCAAGUCGAACGAAUGGCGGACGGGUGAGUAAUGUCUGGGAAACUGCCUGAUGGAGGGGGAUAACUACUGGAAACGGUAGCUAAUACCGCAUACCAUCAGAUGUUCCCAGAUGGGAGUAGCUAGUUGGUGGGGUAACGGCUCACCAAGGCGACGAUCACUAGCUGGUCUGAGAGGAUGACCAGCCACACUGGACCUGAGGCACGGUCCAGACUCCUACGGGAGGAAACAGUGGGGAAUAUGGCACAAUGGGCGCAAGCCGGAUACAGCCAUGCCGCGUGUAUGAAGAAGGCCUUCGGGUUGUAAAGUACUUUCAGCGGUGAGGCGUUACCCGCAGAAGAGGCACCGGCUAACUCCGUGCCAGCAUCCGCGGUAAUAC